Molecule: long non-coding RNA, 42819 nt
Filed under: Sorghum bicolor (sorghum)
Lineage: Eukaryota; Viridiplantae; Streptophyta; Magnoliopsida; Poales; Poaceae
Description: long non-coding RNA (SBIC_LNC008366)
Source: RNAcentral
UGUCAUACUCCUAGAUCAAGACCUUUGACCUUUUUGAAGAGUUUGUCAUCUCUUACUGGCAUAUUGCUUAUUAGAGGGACCAUGGGCUAUCAUUUUUUUCCUUUUUUUUUUCUUUUUUUUAGUCUUUUUUUUCAAGUGGGCAGCAAGUACCCCUAAUUCUACUGUCGGACACAUGUCCAUUUUUUUCCACUCAGGUGGGUAUCUUUGUACCCCUAAUUCUACUUCGGACACUUGUCCAUUUUUACCUCUCAUCUCACUCUUUUUUUUUCGAAUCAAAUUUUUGCAUAGUCCCAUGCCUCUAACGCAAUAAUACUUCGGAAGAGUGAAUCUUUUAUAUUUUUUAAAAAAAAAGAUCUUGAUCUUGGGAGCAUGAUAAUUCUCUCAACCAAAACUACAAGAAUUAACAAUGGCUUGAACAAAGAAAGUAUCCACAGUUUUAAUAUUUAUUUCUUAUAAGAAUCUAGGUAUUAUGAUCUCAUAUAUUUUUUAUGAAUUUUUAGAUUUUCAAAAGAUAAAAUCUCCAGAACUCUAGCAAAACUUGGAACAAGUUAAAUAGUAGCUCAGACCUUCUCAUAUCAUGUUUGUCAAUUACCUAGACUUGAAUCAAACUUUCUUUUUAUUUUAUUUAAAACUUAGUAUUACAUAAAACUAUUAUAUAUUACUCAAAACAAAAACUGUGUUUGGUUUCAUGGUUAUGCAUUUUUUUUAUUUCCGAAUACUAGUAAAUAAAACUAAGAAAGAAAAAUAAUACUUAUCUUGAUUUAUUUUUUUUAUUUAGCAAACUAAGCAAAGAUAUAUAUAAGCAUAAAAUCUUUAUUUGGGUUUUUAUGAUUAUGCAUCUUUUUAUUAUUUGAGUAAAGUAUAAACGUGAGUAGAACACUUAGUUGGAUAAAUGGGGGUGCUCUCCCCCAAGCUGGAUUUUGACAUAAUUUCUUCUGAUGUAGCUAGCAGGUGGCGGAGGUGUAUUUGAAUGUCGGCAGCACUCUGACAGCGAUUAGGAUGUCCUUCGUCUGCUAGUCUUCUUUGAUCCUUGAAUUCUGUGGAGCUCAAAUAGACAACAAAGCUUUGUGGAACUAGUUAAGUGUUAGCAUAAAUAUCUAGCCUUUAUCAUGUUGGGCCUCCUCAAUAAAUGUUACUCAUUACUAGGAUCAUAAUUUUAUUUUUAUAAUUUUAUUUUUAUAGGACAGGAAUAUAUUUAUUUUAUUUUUAUGCCACCACAGUGAAUGUACUUAUGGGCAUGGGGCUUACUAUUUUUAACAUUUUUAUUUUCUUUUUAAGUUGAUAUGAACCUGAUUAACUAAGCAAACUAUUUUAAAUAAUUGAAAGGGAAAAAGGGAUAACUACCAAGUUUAACUCUUACCAAGGCGUUCGGUGUUUUUAAGUCCUCCGAACGGGACUCUCUAUUUUCUCAGUUGUCCUGGGAUUCGCUGGAUGGCGUAGUCAGUGGUUCCGGCGGCGCCUGGUCUUCAUGUAUAACUAUCUUCUCUCUCCACACCUGACACGGUGCUACAGUCUCCUCAGGACAGUUCUGUUCAAGUUGUAUGUCUUCAGACCUUACCACUUCUCCUUCAUAAUCCGCCCAUUCGUCCUUGAUAAUUUGCCUACUCUGGUUGCGGUUGCGUCGUCUUCUUCUUGUCCUGACCUGCUUAGAGUCUUUCAACUAUGUAGUUAAGGUUAGUAAAAUAGUGGCGUACCUUUUCAGAGGAGAAGUGCAUGUGGGCUCCGCCGGUUCCAAUGUAGAUGAUUGCUUUAACGGUGUUGAGGAACGGUCUUCCAAGGAUGAUGGGUGGAUCGUACUCGUCUUCUCCUAUGUCAAUAACUUCAACCUUCUGAAAUGUUUGAUCUGCCAUCUGGAGCUGGGUGUAUGUCGGUUUUAAGGGCAUGAUUCCCAACAGAAGCUGAUAGGUAACUAAGUCGUCCUUUUUGGUCAGGAACGGUGACUUAAAUAGAUGAUCUUGACCUCCUUGAACUGCAGUGACCAUCUUAGCUGACUCGGUCCACACUUGCUUGUUCUUGUUCCUCCUGUUGGUCCUCUUCCUUGGUUCAUGUCGGGAAUGCUCUGAGAUUGUGUAGUCUUAUUCUUGAAGGAAAAUGUCUCAUUUCUCCCUUUGAUGUAGAAACUGAUCUUGGCAGCACUAGCGUAGAUGACAGCUCCCGAGGUGUUCAGGAAUGGCCUCCCUAAGAUGGGUGCCCUCUCAUCAGUAUCAGUCUCUAUCACCACGAAGUUUGCUGGGGCGUACAAGGUACCAACUCGAACGCAGAGGUUCUUCAAUAUUCCCUUUGGGAAACUUAGUGUCUGAUCUGCAGGCUUGGGCAUUAUGUUGACGCUGGAGCCAAAGUCGCAGAGUGCUUCUAGGAAGUCCACCAUGCCGAUGGAGAUCGGGAUGACGGGGCAUCCUGGGUUGUCUCUCUUGACCGGCAGAAGGUCAGUAAUUACUUCCACUACGGGGUUACUCCAGUAGUUACGUCCUCAAGCAUCUCAGGGCAGUGAUUGCCUGAGUGUCUAGUAUCUCCAGUGUGUUUGUGCUCCUAGAUCUAGGUUCUUCACUUGGUGGAGUCUGGGAGUUGUAAAACUCCUUCAUAUUUUGUUUGAAGUAUACCUGCUCAUAAAGACAAGGCAGAGAUCAAGUGCCUGGGCCCUGUUGGUCGAAAACACCAACAGAACCAAAAGUGUAUUUGUUCUUCUCUAACCUUAAGCAUAGUGAGCAAGACAAAGUUGAAGGAUAAUAAGAUCAUGAGUGUAGCAUUUAAAGCAUUUGUCAGAUCAGAUCGCUCAACCUAAUGGAAAAAUAAUCUAUCUAUAUUUAUGUUGUUUUGUUUUUUUAUAAAAUAUAUCUUCCAAAGAUUGAGUGUGCAACAUUUUAGCUCAUAUGAUUAGGAGUGUGGGAUCACAAAGGUGGAAUGACUAAACAUAUUGAAUCGACUGGGUUGGUUAAUCUAGAUUUGUAAACCAUACAUGUUUGUCUCUUUUAUUCAUGUGAACGCCAGAACCAAGGAGAAGCUUAUAAAAGUGAUAGUCAAGUACCUUAAGAUGUUACCUUACUUGAAGAGUGAUGGUACGGUAUCUCCUUGUGGAAGCUUUCCUUUCUUAGCGGUUGUGCAUCGUGUUUGUAGCACCCUCCAUGGAUCAUCUCUUGUGAGCUAUGCCUUCCUUGUGUAAAUUGUUAAACUUCAUGUGCCUCUCUCUUUGUCAAAAAUGUGAGUGUAUCUCAGGACUUCCCAGGUCGAUAGUGAAAGUUUUCCUGUAGGGGUUAGUCCAACAAAAUAUCCCAUAUCUACUAUAGCAUACUAUCGGCUCAAAAAUCAACCUAGACACCAUGUCUAAUUUGAUUCAGGAGGGAUUUUUUAACCUAAGCACCAUGCUUAAUUUAAAACCAAUUGGAAGUAAGAUCAUCAUUCCUAAACUAAGCACCAAGCUCAAUUAAGAGAUAAAUGAAACUACUCCAAACCUAGACAUAUACUAAAGCAAAUAAAGGUAGCAUGAGAGCAUUUAUAGAGAUCUACUCAAGUGGAGAUGAAGUAGUGUGAUUAGUAUUUAACAAAUUGAGCAUGUCUCAAUGGUAGGGUCAACCAAUAUAGCAACAUGGCAAAGGAUGUUUUUAUGUAAAGUACUCCCCCAAGCUUGAAUUUUGCAAAAUUCAAGUUUGGAUGAAUUUAAUUCAAUGUUGUAUGAUGAUUGGUUGUACAUACCUUGUGCUUGUCAUUCAUCCGAUCUUCUUGCUCCAAUCCUGGAAAGGUUAGUGACAAGAAUACCCGAAGGAAUUUUUUUACAAUUAUCCUUAUAUGCUCAAUACACAAGUUAAUGUUGCAAAUAAUAAAAAGUUCAUGUUAUAAUCUGAUUAGUGCUUGUUUUAGGACACUAAGCUUGUCCUUGGGAAACCAUCAAUUUAUGUCAGUGAAGUGGUUUCCCCUCCAACGCUGACCUAUAUCAAGAUCAACUCAACGAGAUCUGCAAAAUUUAUUAUAAACAUAUGCAUCGACAACCGCCCUUUUAAAGUUUUUGUAAAUAUAAAGGAAGAGGGGGUUGGAGAUCUCGAAUGUGGUGAUGUUGGAGAGACCAAUGGAUUGUGAAGAUGUUGCAUAUGAGCAUGGAGUAAAUGAAGUGGCUAUGAAAUAAAUUCCAUGCUCAUUAAUGCUUAGAGUGAAAUCCAUGUGGUAUGGUGAAAAUGAUAAGGUGAGUGUGGUAAAAAAAAGAAAAGAAAAAGGAUACACGGACAACUUGGUUCGAAACUAGCACAGCUACCGUUCCCCGGCAACGGCGCCAGAAAGCUUGUUGGGUAUUUUAAACGCAAACAGAAAAAAUCUGCAAGCGCACGGAUACCGAUGUAGCUUUCACCCGGGAGUAUUCCAGAGUAUCGAUUUUCCACAGAGAACGUGAGUGUACUAAUUAAGAUCCAAGAUCACCCAAGGAUAACUAUAUAAUUAUUUUUGGUGGGAAGAGAGAAAGUUUUCUGAGAGUUCUCUAGUUGAUCUAAGAAUCAAGAAUUACUUCAAGAUUAUCUAUAUCGGGACAUCAGAGCACUAACCACAUAAAGAGAUGAGAAGGGGGCUAGGAAGGUCUGACUACGGUCCUACAAACACCGAUCCGAACGUGGUGGAAUACGUCGACCGUUAGGUCUGUCACUACCCUAAGGCUACCACAACAAUCCACAGGAUUGGGUGCAAUUCCAGGUAAUUGCAAGACUAAACACCACGUCAAAUCUAUUAAUUACUACUCUAGCGUUAUAAAGACUAGAGCACUUGAUGCAAGCGGGAAUCCAAUAAAUAACUUGAAUGUAAAUAAAAGUAAUUAAAGAACUCAGGAAUUAUGAAUUGAAGAACCUGGAGAACGAUGAAGAACGAACCAGAUGUUGCAAAAGUAUAAUGUUGAGGAAGAUCCGACAGAUCCGGCUCCUCCUCCGCUCUCCUCUUCUCUCUCCCUAUUUUCUAGAUUACAACUAGUACUAACUAGAACUAGAACUAGAGGAACUAGAACUAGAACUAGAUGAACUAGAACUAGAUCUAGAUGAACUAGAGGUAGAACUAGAAGAACUAGAGGGAUCCUCUCUACUUGGAUGAAGAAUUGAAACCCUAACUUUGAUUCUGUAGAAGAGGUAUGAUCUCCAGGGGCCAGGGGGGUCUGGUUUUAUAGUCUCUUCAAGUGAAUCUGGGCCGUCGGAUCAAACCGACAUUGAUUGAACGGUUAUUGUUGAUCCUUUAGGUCGGUGGAGCAAUAUCCCGAAAGAGAGUCCUGAUUGGACUCUGGCUGAGGGCGGGCGCCCAAGAAAGGACGGCAGGCGCCCUGUCCCUGUGUCCUCUCGGCCUCCGCUUCGGUCCCGUGGCUUUUGGAGUCUUCUAGAUGAUAGAAAAUUGCGCGGCACAUUAAUAUCUCUAUGUAAACCCGACGUGUGGGCCUUUCUUCCAUAUUUCCUGAUAACCCCCUGCAGAAAUACACAAACACCAAAACUCGUGGAAUUCUAUCAGAUAAAACCCUAAGUCUAGGUGUUGGUUGCAUAUAAGUCCUUUUCUAUGAUUAAUUGAUGGUUAAAUAUGAGCAUUGAGGACCGUCAACACCCUCAUAAAGAGUUUGGAAGAAUCGGCUGACCUGGUCUUCAUUGCCACCAGUACCAGGUAAGACUAUGGCAGCCUCACCAUAGUUUAAGGGUGGGCGAGUUGCCGAUUCUUCAUUAGCCAAUUCGUGAUCUUUGGCAAUAUCUCUGGGAAAGCGUUGUGCAAAGAGGUCGAAUCCAAGGCGUUUGUGCAUGUGAACACUGAGCCACAUGUUAAUGAACCACCAAGGACCUCCUAAGUUGCCGAUAGGUUGGCCUAAUAGAAGUUUCUCAGCAACUUGAUGGAGAAGGUGAUAAGCAGAACCAAGCAAGUAUCGGCCGAGAGCAAAUCGGCCGCCAUCGGCCAGUCUUUCUGCUGCCGAUAAAUAGACAGAGGUUGGUCCUACCGAUCGGCCACAGAAAACGAACCUGUCUAACCACAUGUUCAGGAAAACAGCAUGCUCCCUCUGACCGACUGGCCCUGUUUUUCGGUACUUCUGAAUGUAUCCUGACCAACCGCCGAUGUUGCGGGUUUCUACUUUGCGCUCAGGUUUGCGAUCAUAUAGAUGGUUAUCAUCGGCAGUUGAUAUGUCUAAACCAGUGAGCAUGAGCACAUCGGCAAGAGUAGGGGAAGCAGGGCCAUGACUAAACACAAAGGCAUUGAGGGUAUCUGACUAGAAGUAUGAAGCAACUAUCAAUAGCGAUUCAUUUCUUCCCAUAUCGGCAAUGGAUAGCCUAAUGCACUGAUCUUGUUUGCGCUCACCCCAUUGGAAUUCAUUUGAGUUGCCAAUUCUCAGAAACCAAUCUUUCCACCCAUUGGUAGAACUAGGCCAGGAUCGAAAGGUAUCUUUCCACAGAUCUAGUGAGAAGUUCUCAGCUCUAAAGGGGAUCCUAUUUGUUUCUGCAUUUAUCCAGCCGGUAGGAUCUGGGUUUCCCAAUGGACCAAGGCAUUGGAAGUGGGGUUGAUCGGUAGGAAUAACAAUUUUCUCGGUCAAUUCCUAAAGAAAUAAAAUACCAAGUAAAUAACUGCGCGAGAGAUCAAAAAUACAGUGAAAAGAAGAAAGGUGAUCCUAAAUUGACCUCAGGAACGACGAAGUUGAUUGCCAUUUCUUUCCGAGAGGAAGAAGGGAUCAAAGACUCAGAAGAUCGUUGGAGGAGAUCCUUGCCGGAGUUCUUGAGUUUCUUGAACAGUGCCGCCGCGAGGAAGGUGGGUUUGAGGAUGUGGAAUGACGAGAUGGAGGAAGAGUACCGGAGAAGGCAGUAUUUAUAGGGUAAAGUGAGCAGGGGCAUUUUUGACUUAUCUCUUUGCCACAUCCGUGAAAUCCGAGGAUGAUCAAUUGGAUAUGGUAACUGUUCGCACGGCAAUGAAGGGAUUAUGCAGGUGAUUUUACAGCAAGCGGUCAUGAUUUUGAAGAUAUUUUACUGUGUGAGAUCUCCUGGUUGGCUGAUCGGUAGUUUCUCUCUAAUGGAUAUAUUGCCGAUGAACGUAUAUUUAGGAGAUUCGGUUCGAAAAGUUGAGAGAUUCAGGUAUAUGCUAGAGAACCGGACUGAGGUUGUUUGAAUUUGGCAAUUAAUGACCAUCAGGGGGAAAUAAUUGCAAAAAGGGCGUAUUUAUUGGAGACAAUUUCGGAGCAUCCGUUUUUGGACAUGUAUCUUUGGACGCGUAUCUGGAGUUAAUGAGGCGUGGAUCGGCAGGUAGAAAAGUGGUGACUAGUUGAGGGGGGUUGGUGCCAAUGAGAAAACGUCAGAAUGUGGCCAAGUCCAGGAGUGGUGAUGGAUCUAUGCCGAUGACUGGUGCUGAUGGUUGCCGAUGGCUAUGAGAGGUGGUUCACCGGUGGUCACAAGGGAAGGCACAGGAAUUAUCGGUCAGGUCAUGGUGGUGUACGGAUCGGUUGUGGAAGAUAACUUAAUGUUUUUCAUAGUUAGUAGAGUUUGUUUUGUAUACGGAUUCCGUUCAAUUUGGAAUUCGAGUCCUAGUCAUGUUUGAUUGUAACCCUUUUGGGCCAGGUAUAAAUAUGAGACUCCGUAGCGAUGUAUGAACAUACACAAUCAAUUCCAGCAUCUACUUUUUCGACGACUUCGUUAACCUGCAUAUUUUUCCUUUUACUACGAGUUCUUUGGAAUUCUUCGAGUCAACUGUUGACGGUCCUUAAGUAUCAAAUUUAAUUAUCAAAUAAAUAAAGAAAAGGAUCCAAAUGAAAUCAAAAUCUAGACUUAGGGUUUUAUCUGACAGAAUUCCACGAGUUUCGGUGUUUGUCUAUUUCUGCAGGGGGUUAUCAGGAAAUACGGAAGAAAGGCCCACACGUCGGGAUUACAUAGAGAUAUUAACAAGCCGUGCAAUUAUCUUACAUCUAGAAGACUCCAGAAGCCACGAGACCGAAGCGGAGGCGAAACGGGGCCAGAGGCAGGGCGCCCGCCCUCCUGCCCUGGGCGCCCACCCCCUCUGAGAGUCCAAUCAGGACUCUGGUUUGUGGGAGAUCUCCACCGACCUAAAGGAUCAAGGAUAACCGUUCAAUCUAAGUCGGUUUGAUCCAACGGCCCAUAUUCACUUGAAGGGACUAUAAAACCAGACCCCCUGGCCCCUGGAGGAGAUAGCCUCUCAACCCUAAUUCGUUAUUCUUCAAGGGAGAAGAAGCCCCUGAUCAAGAUUAGGGCCACCACAUCAAUUAGACAUCUAGAUUAGCAUAGCUACAUAGGAUUAGAACUAGAAGGAGUCAAUCUUCGAUUGGUUUCCGGAUCUGUCAAGAGGAUUCUUGGUAAUUCUCUAAUUGUGCUUCUAAUUGCUUUCUAAUUAUCUUUGUUCUUCAAUAUUAUGAAUAUGACUUUGUUCUACUUCAAUAUAUUGCAUAUGACUUUGCUCUACUUGUUUAUAUUCAAGAUUAUAUUGUUCUUAGUUUAUCAUAGUUAUGUACUUGGCUUAGUUAGAUUGGAUCUAUAUACAUGCUUAGGAUCGUAUAGCGUUUAUCCAUCGGAUCCAUGGGUAAAUGAUAGAUAUUGUGUAGGCGUGGUGCUUAUACCGUAUUUAUCUGCGAUUGUACCCAAUAUGCCAGAUCGUGGGGUAGUUCGUGAUAGUGACAGCUUCAUUGAUUCUUAUAUAGUCCCCCUCUCGUGUAUUGGGCUGGCAGAGCAACAUUAUUAUAGGGUAGUGAUUGCUAUGUUUCUCAUUUACCUUGCUAAUAUCACUAUGCAUGGGUGUAGUCUUGUCUCACAAUGAUUGCUAAGUAUGCUUGCACUAACUAUGAUAAUGCUAGACUAUAUAGUUGAGAAUAACUUAGGAAAUAUUCUUGUAGUUCGUUCUAAUUCCAUGCUAAUGACUUUCUAGAGUAUCUAAUUGAGGUGCUUAUCAUAUUUAUAUGUGGCUAGUUAUGAUCAGAUUAAUUAUCCUUGUCACUAUUCAUUAUUUCAUAUAUCUUUUAUGUGACACUUACCCCUGUAUGAAAGAGUUAGAUAUAUGUUCUCAAUUAUACAUGCAAUGAUAGAUACUCAAUCUCAUAUUCUAUUCUAUAAUCAAUAUUGAUGAUUGUUAAUCCCUUCCCAGUGGUAAAAAUAUAAAUAACGAUACUUGGAAUACUUCCCGGUUAAAAUACUACAUCGGUAUUAAUCUGUGCGCUUGCAGAUCCCAUUCAUUAUUUAUUUAGAAGAGCAAUUGCAUAUUUCAAUACCGCGUCUCUCAUGUCAUGCUGGGGAUGACAACUUGGCUUAAGUGGUAUGAGGGAUAGGUUUGGCAUUUUUGGAACCGUUACAAGAAUUAGGAAUUGUCUACUUUUGGUAGUGAUGUUAAGAAUACCCAACAUCAACCUCGGCGAAUUCUCGAGUUCCGUGUGAAUACUUCUUGGACGUGACAUCCUGGCGCAUCGUUGUUGUUGGGACCAAAGUAUUCGAGUUACCACCUUUGUCGAUUGUAAGGACAAAUCGGCUGGCACGGCAUAACGUUGGAUCAGGUAUUAGCCCUUUGUGUUUGCAGAUCUACUUUUGCAUCAACAGUAGUCGGUUUGGCUCUGGGCCUGGAUCUCUCCCGUGGUUACGAUCAGGCCCAGCUCUGCGUUGUUCGGACCUUUCUCUAUUUUCUUGGUUUGCGCAUUUCUGAAUAAAUCUUUUGGUACUUUGCGCUUUCUUCAUGGUAUGGCACAUUUUCACUUGUUGCACUAUAAUUCCUGCAAAAUAUAAUCACUAUGGUACAAGUGGAACUUGUUAGUAAUAAAAUGCAUGUGUGUAUAUAAUAUGAUUGCUUCUUCUCCUUUUGGAUCAAGUUGGCAGUUUAUAAUUGGUCUAUAAUGACUGCCAACACCUAUCUCUCUGCUCUCGCACUACAAACACAUCCUGGCUCAGCGCACUGCUCCUCUGAACUGCCUAUUCUCUCCUAGUAGUCAAGCAGGCAAGCUCCGCCUGCAACCUCUCGACCUCACUACCGAAGUCACGCUACGUAGCACUUCUCAUCAUAGACUGUCAGCAACGACCCAGUCAAGCACCCCAAACAGUGCUGUAGACCCCCAUAGGUCAUCAUCAUGGUGAACAUGACACUUACAGCUACACUGUCAUUGUGUUGAUCCUCAUCCACACUCCACUCUAAGGCAUUCCCCUUGGACUGAUCCCACACCAAGGUGUAGGGGUCACCCCCUGGGAAACACCCCAACAAAGGCGUGAGCUAACUCCUACGGAAAUCUCUCCAUCAGAUCCCUUGGAACUGCAAACGUAGCCUUGCUGGCUCCCUCAAAAGGAGUACUGCCUCUGGAGUCAAACACCCAGCCGCCCCAAGUGGGGUCACUACCACUACUAGGAAUCACUGCCUCGACACCAACUAGGGUUCCAUCACCUAACUGCUCUAUGCUCUAGUAGUAGCGAGGCUCCCUUCCAUCAGGAUACCCCAUCACACUGAGUUCCCUCCAAAGCAAAGUGGGCAUGCCAAACUCCACCAAGAAUUUGCUGUUGUGACAUGAAUCCCUAAGAACCAGCUGAUGGCGAGGAACCCACCCUUUGGUGGACUUGCAAGCGGUACGCCUGGUGUGAGCCAUCUGCUGAAAUAGGAUACCUUCGAGGAGAACUGAGGAUUAUCUUUAUCAUUUUUAUCAAAAUGGGAUAGAGUAACAUAAGGGGAGAGACCAAGCAGUGAUACGAAAUGAACAUGAUGUAUGCAUGAAUCUUAUGAUCUCAUAAACUUAGGAACAAAAGUUAGAACUAGCGGUGUGUUGAAGGUCCUUAAGUACCAAAUAUAAUCAUCAAAUAAAUAAAGAAAAGGAUCCAAAUGCAACCAACACCCAAACUUAGGGAUUUAUCUGACAGAAUUCCAUGAGUUUUGGUGUUUGUCUAUUUCUGCAGGGGGUUAUCAGGAAAUACGGAAGAAAGGCCCACACAUCGGGUUUACAUAGAGAUAUUAACAUCAAUUUUCUAUCAUCUAGAAGACUCUAGAAGCCACGGGAACGAACGGGAAGGUGAUCGGGCCCAGGGGCAGGGCACCCUCCCUCGCCUCUAGGGCGCCCGCCCAGCUAUAGAGUCCAAACAGGACCCGUCUCGCGGAUUACGUUCCACCAACCUAAAGGAUAAAGGAUAAUCGUUCAAUUAAUGUCGGUUUGAUCCGAUGGCCCAGAUUCACUUGAGGGGACUAUAUAAGCAGACCCCCUGGCCCCUGAAGGAGAACAAGUUCAUUGUAGAGUUGAGAGGUGCCCUCGAAGGAUAACCUUUCCUCUACAUAGACAGAGCAGAAGCUAGGGUUUGGAGAUGAGAGCUCUCCUCUCAUCUCUAAACUAGAGUAGAUCUAGAUAGUAGCAAGAUGGAGAGCGAGGGAGGAUUGGAGGAGAGGCCGGCCUGUCGGUUCUUCCUCCGGUUGUACUUCGCCAUGAUCAAGCUCUAAUCAAGCUUGCUCAUGGGAUGACUCUGGUAAUCUACAUCUAUUUCAUUAUGCAAUUACUAUUCAUGUAUGUUCUGGUUCACAACUCUUUUGAGUACUUUAAUCUAUAGGACGCUAUAGGUGAGAGUUGCAGUAUAGGUGUAAUCGUGGUGCUUAGACCUAGAUUACUUGUGGAUAUCCCCUGUCUAGCUAGAUCGUGUGGUAGGCCGCGUAGGUGACAGUUACGUUGGUCCCCUAUAGUCCACCUCUUGUUAGCAGGACGGGUAGGGUUUAUCGGCCUAUGGAUAAGCAUCCUUUGUGGUGUAUUCUUAUCACGUGGUUCGUCCCAGACAUAGACAUACCCCUUUGAAGUAGAGAAAUCAUAGUUAUCCUCUCUAUUCUCCUACCAUCGCCCAUAUAUUAGAUUGCUCUACUCUAUAUUCCCCCAUUAUCAUUUUACCUUUGAUAUUGUUCUUAUUUCAAUUCUACCAUCUUUCCUAUUUACACUUAUCCAUCUAUCUAGGUUAAGUUAGAGCAUAGAUCAGUUCUCCCGUUUCCCUGUGGAUACGAUAAAACCUUUAACCGGGUAAAAGCUACAACGGUAUCCCUACGCUUGCGGAUUUAUCUGUGUGCGUAUAAAUAUCAUAGUACACUCUAGUGCCAUUCUGGGGAUGACAACCUAGUAUUCAAGUGGUGUUAGCAAGUGUCAACAAGAAUUUUUGGCGCCACUGACGGGGAGACGGUUGCUGAGUUGACUACGAACUAGCUUAAUCAUUUUCUAAAAAAUAAUAAAAAAUAUACUUUUCCUUUUAUCCUUUGUCUUAUCUCUGCUAUUCUUUCUUCUUAUCUAGUCCUUGAUUUCUGGUCUAUCAUGAAUACAAACAUGUCUGUCUAUCAAUUUCAUAGACCUACGGGCACACAUCUCGAACCACCAAAAUCUUCAAAUCCUAUCAUAGCAUCUAGUUUUGAGAUAGACCCCAAAUACAUAGAAUUUGUUCAAAAACAACCUUUCUCAGGAGAAGGUAAGGAAAACUCAUACACACACCUAAGAGAGUUUUAUCGAGUCUGUGACCUCCUUCGCAUUGAAGGCAUGUCCGAUGAGACCCUUAAAUGGAAGGUCUUUCCAUUCUCUUUAACAGGAAAAGCUAGACAUUGGUACAAACUAAAAGUAGGGAGUGUUCAUAGAGAUUGGAAGGAGUUAUAUAAUAGUUUUCUUUUUAAAUAUUUUCCAAUCUCCAAGUGGUGGAACUUUGGCCUAAGAUUCUUUCUUUUAGACAACUGGAAGAAGAAUCUCUCGGCAAAUCAUGGGACCGCUAUAUUAACCUUACUCUCACUGGCCCAAAGCUUUCUAUUCCACAAGAAGUUCUUCUAAUUCACUUUUUUGAGGGCCUUAGUAGGGAAAAUAAGCAAACCUUGAAUACAGCCUCUAGAGGAUCCUUCUAUCACCUACCUGCUAGUGAAGCUAGGGAUUUAAUUGAUUCAUUGAGUGGAAAGUUUCCUAGCAUUUAUAUCCCUGAGAAAGAGAAAGAACCAGUUCCUAGACAAGAAGAGGAAGUUUCGAUAGCCAAAUUACAACCACUUCAAUCCCAAACUUUAGCUAUCGAUCCUAAACCAUCAAUACCUCAAAAUUCUCCAAGGGAGGAAGGAAUUUCGACCUUAAAUCUUUCAGAUACUGAUGGUUUAGACUCCUGGUUCCAUAAGAGACUUUCAAGUAGGGAUAAUUAAAAUUCUUGCAAUAAUGGUUCUCUUAAAGAAUGUCCUGGUUUCUAUUAUGAAGAAGUCGUGGAUGACAUAUCAAGUGAAGGAGAGGUAAACCAUAUAGAAAAUUCUAUCUGCUCCCCUUCCAUGUUCACAAAUUCUAAAUCCAUCCUUGACCUUAGAGACCCCUCUUAUCCCUCUCCUUUUCAGUCUCAUGAUGAUCCUAGCAAUCCAUCAAGACGACCAAACCAUAGGAGUCAUGAAGACCAUAAGGAUUGCAUGACAAGUAAUGCCAUAGAAGGAGAGCUAAGCCAUAUAGAAGAUUCUAACACCUCCCCUUUCCUCAUCGCAAGUUCUAAAUGGCUAGAAUAUGUAGAAUGGAUGGACAAGGAAGAAGCCUUAAUGGAUUCUGACUUUGGCUCAAUUUCAAAUGGUGAGUUCUUGACUCCAUUUGAAGAUGAGAUUCAUCCAACUGCAGAAGAGGACAUAGGUGAGACCAAUCCAGGAGAAACUAUGAACAUUCAUAUUGGAGACGAAGAUAACAUUAAUGAGCAUGGAAUUUAUUUCAUAGCCACUUCGUUUACUCCAAGCUCACAUGAAACAUCUUCCGAAUCUAUUGGUGUCUCCAACAUCAUCACAUUUGAGAUCUCCAACCCCCUCUUCCUUUCUAUUUAUAAAAACUUUAAAAGGGCGGUUGUCGAUGCAUAUGUCUAUAAUAAAUAUUGCAAAUCUCAUUGAGUUGAUCUUGAUAUAGGUCAGCGUUGGAAGGGAAACCACUUUGCCGACAUAAAUUGAUAGUUUCCCAAAGACAAGCUUAGUGUCCUAAAAUAAGCACUGAUCGGAUCGUAACAUGAGCUUUUAAUUAUUUGCAACAUUACCUUGUGUAUUGAGCUUACAAGGAUAAUUGUAAAAAUAUUCCUUCGGGUAUUCUUGUCACUAACUUUUCCAGGAUUGGAGCAAGAAGAUCGGAUGAAUGACAAGCACAAGGUAUGUCCAACCAAUCAUCAUAAAACAUUGAAUUAAAUUCAUCCAAACUUGAAUUUUGCAAAAUUCAAGCUUGGGGGGAGUACUUUACAUAAAAACAUCCUUUGCCAUGUUGCUAUGUUGGUUGUCCCUACCUUUGAGACAUGCUCAAUUUGUUAAAUACUAAUCACACUACUUCAUCUCAACUUGAGUAGAUCUCUAUAUAUGCUCUCAUGCUACCUUUAUUUGCUUCAAUAUAUGUCUAGGUUUGGAGUAGUUUCAUUUAUCUCUAAAAUAAGCAUGGUGCUUAGUUUAGGAAUGAUGAUCUUACUUCCAAGGGAUUUUAAAUUAAGCAUGGUGCUUAGGUUAAAAUGCCCUCCUAAAUCAAUUUAGACAUGGUGUCUAGGUUGAUUUUUGAACCGAUAGUAUGCUAUAGUAGAUAUUGGAUAUUUUGUUGAACUAACCCCUGUAGGAAAACUUUCAAUAUCGACCUGGGAAGUCCUGAGAUAAACUCACAUUGGAGACAAAGAGAGAGACACAUCAAGUUUAACAAUUUACACAAGGAAGACGUAGCUCAUAAGAGAUGAUCCAUGGAGGGUGCCACAAACACGAUGCACAACCGCUAAGAAAGGAAAGCUUCCACAAGGUGAUACUGUACCAUCACUCUUCAAGUAAGGACCUGGAUCUGCGAGCACAAACACACUGAGCAAGAAACUGUCAACGCCGCACUUCGAACUGCUGGGCAAACGAAGAACAUGGGUGACACCGUAUCAAGAGGUGUAGAUGUCAAGGUCCACACCUGAAUCAAAUGACGUACCUAAAGAAUGAACAUGAUGAGAAGUCUUGUUCAGAAGACUUAAAACAUUGAACCCUCGCCGAAAGGUAAAAUCUGUAGUUAUCCAUAUUUAUCUUUUCUGCAUUCCUUUUCCUUUUUAUUCCAUCACUUGCAUUAGCAUAUCUACUUUUCCACAUUAGCAUUAGAAAAGAAAACAAAAAUAUUUGUUCGUUGCACUACAUCAUAAAAUCUAAAGCCCCAUGUGAGUAGACUUGUGGUUUAAAACCCAUAGGUAUAUUGACUGUGGUGGCAUAAAAUAAAUAUGUUUUCAUCUUACAAUAAAAAUAUAAAAAUAAUAAGUGCAUGAUCCUGCUAAAUAAAUAAAAUUUAUUAGGAGGAAUCUCAAUAUGAUAAAGGCUAAGAGAUUUUAUGCUAACACUUAACUAGUUCCACAAAGCUUUGUUGUCUAUUUGAGCUCCACUGAAUUCAAGGGUCAAAGAAGACUAGGAGACGGAGGACAUCCUAAUCGCUGUAAGGGUGCUGCCGACAUUCAAAUACACCUCCGCCACCUGCUAGCUACAUCAAAAGAAAUUACGUCAAAAUCCAGCUUGGGGGAGAGCACCCCCAUUUAUCUAGCUAAGUGUUUCUACUCGAGUUUAUACUUUACUCAAAUAAUAAAAAAAAUGCAUAAUCAUAAAAACCCAAAUAAAGAUUUUAAGCUUAUAUAUAUAUAUAUGCUUAGUUUGCUAAAUAAAUAAAUAAAUAAAGUUUGCUAUGAACCCUCUUGAUAAGCCCUCACAUGGAAAUGAUGAGUAGUUGCUCUGCCAUGACUAGAUCUCAAAAUUGAAUUCUCUCUCAAGUUUAGGCAUGACUGUUAUGAAUUAAGAUUUGCUCUAAACCUGAACUUGUGGGAAGAGUACUUGAUCUGAAGUCUAAGUCGUUAACGGAUAUGAUAUGGGAAGGCUGAGCUGCUGUUUAUCUGUUCCUAGAGAUGCUAUAAUUCUGGAGAAUUUUAUCUUUGAAAAUCUUUAAAAUGUUGCAUGAUGAGUUCCUGUAUGAUGAGAGUUUAAAAUCCUUCCACAGCCAUAUAAACAUGCUUAUUAGACUAUGAACCAUACAUUUACUUUUUACUGCUUAUGAGCAUUGAGUGUGGUCAAGCUGUGUAGACCCUUAGGAGCUUGUCAUGCGGUUAAAAUCAAGAUUCACUUGCACGUUCACUCAUACAUGCUGCUUCUACUCCGAAAGUAUGCAUCCACAUACAUCCACUCAUCUCCAUCUCCAGAUUCACCUAAAAUUAUUCUACUCCUAUCCGGGAGAGAAUAGCCAAAAAUAUUAUCCUAUCCCUGUUAUUCCCCAUGAAAUAAAUGCUCGAGGUAUUUUGGUUACUACCACUUGCUACAUUAUUCCAGGAGGGUGAGUGCUCUAAAAAAAGUGAAUACGAGGAAAUAAAAAGGGGCAAUUGCCCGAAACCUCGAAGAAAAGAAAAAGUGAGAUGAGAGGUAAAAAAUGGACAAGUGUCCGACAGUAGAAUUAGGGGUACAAGAUACCCACCUGAGAGAAAAGAAAAAAUAAUAUAGAGCAUCUCAUUCUUCUCAAAAAUCUUCAAAGUGCAAGAAAGGUAUGUAUCCCCUCAAAAGAGCAAAAGUAGAAUUAGACUUUCACCAUUGUUAUCACCAUACACCAUUCAUUUGCCACACAUGUACAUCUUGAUUUGACUUAUUGACUUGUUUCUAUGGAUCUAUGGUUUGACUAUGCAAUAAAUGUCUUGUAAGUAUGUAUUAGCUGUCUCCCACCUAUGAGCUCCAGAUAUCAAUACCUUAUUAGAGUAGGGUUAGAGAGAAGGCAAUAUCGCUAUGCCUCAUACCAAAAACACCACAUACUUUGAGAGAAGGCAUAUACCAUUACUGCCUUGGAAAGGAUCCAGAAAUACCACAAAAGAGAGAUUUGAGAGAGUCAUACAAGGAAUCUCUGAGUUUUAUUUGAAAAUCUAUAAAAACUCCAGAGCUAUAGUUGAUCAAGAAUACAAGACAUGGCGCUUGACUAGACUGUUCUAUCUUUUAACUGCUCAAGAUACAUGUGACGGUUACAAGCCCCAUGGUGGAAGGUAAUAUGAGUAAGUUUAAAUCUUAACAGUUUACUCUAACUCAGAGGUGAUAUCUUAUUUGAACGCAUGUGUACCUUUGAGGCAUGAAACCACUACAGAAACUCUUGAGUCCACCCUUUCUCAGGGACGAGCAAGAGGUAAGAUUGGGGGAGUUGUUGACGGUCCUUAAGUACCAAAUAUAAUCAUCAAAUAAAUAAAGAAAAGGAUCCAAAUGCAACCAACACCCAGACUUAGGGUUUUAUCUGACAGAAUUCCAUGAGUUUUGGUGUCUGUCUAUUUCUGCAGGGGGUUAUCAAGAAAUACGGAAGAAAGGCCCAGACAUCGGGUUUACAUAGAGAUAUUAACGUGCCGCGCAAUUUUCUAUCAUCUAGAAGACUCUAGAAGCCACGGGAACGAACGGGAAGGUGAUCGGGCCCAGGGGCAGGGCACCCUCCCUCCCCUCUAGGGCGCCCGCCCAGCUACAGAGUCCAAACAGGACCCGUCUCGUGGAUUACGUUCCACCGACCUAAAGGAUCAAGGUUAACCGUUCAAUCAAUGUCGGUUUGAUCCGACUGCCCAGAUUCACUUGAGGGGACUAUAUAAGCAGACCCCUGGCCCCUGGAGGAGAGCAAGUUCAUUGUAGAGUUGAGAGGUGCCCUCGAAGGAUAACCUUUCCUCUACAUAGACAGAGCAAAAGCUUGGGUUUGGAGAUGAGAGCUCUCCUCUCAUCUCUAAACUAGGGUAGAUCUAGAUAGUAGCGAGACGGAGAGCGAGGGAGGAUUGGAGGAGAGGCUGGCCUGUCGGUUCUUCCUCCAGUUGUACUUCGCCAUGAUCAAGCUCUAAUCAAGCUUGCUCAUGGGAUGACUCUGGUAAUCUACUUCUAUUUCAUUAUGCAAUUACUAUUCAUGUAUGUUCUGGUUCACAACUCUUUUGAGUACUUUAAUUUAUAGGACGCUAUAGGUGAGAGUUGUAGUAUAGCUGUAAGCGUGGUGCUUAGACCUAGAUUACUUGUGGAUAUCCCGUGUCUAGCUGGAUCGUGUGGUAGGCCGCGUAGGUGACAAUUACGUUGGUCCCCUGUAGUCCACCUCUUGUUAGCAGGACGGGUAGGGUUUAUCGGCCUAAGGAUAAGCAUCCUUUGUGGUGUAUUCUUAUCACGUGGUUCGUCCUAGACAUAGACAUACCCCUUUGAAGUAGAGAAACCAUAGUUAUCCUCUCUAUUCUCCUACCAUCGCCCAUAUAUUAGAUUGCUCUACUCUAUAUUCCCCCAUUAUCAUUUUACCUUUAAUAUUGCUCUUAUUUCAAUUCUACCAUCUUUCCUAUUUACACUUACCCAUCUAUCUAUGUUAAGUUAGAGCGUAGAUCAGUUCUCCCGUUUCCCUGUGGAUACGAUAAAACCUUUAACCGGGUAAAAGCUACAACGGUAUCCGUGCGCUUGCAGAUUUAUCUGUGUGCGUAUAAAUACCAUAGUACACUCUAGUGUCAUGCUGGGGAUGACAACCUACUAUUCAAGUGGUGUUAGCAAGUGUCAACACGGUGUAUACGGUAUCAUACAACGUUCUCUCAUAUAUACGAAACUAGACGUUCUACUCGAGGACGUGGUUAGUGUACCUGCAGAAACUCAUUUCAGCCCAACCUUAGUAUGAAACAUGCAAAAUAGUAAUUAAAGCUAUUCCCUCCACACACACAUACUCGUACUUGCAAGUGUCAUGCUACUACCCACAUCAUCGCCCUAAUGACGACAUCGCCUCUCAGGACGGAAUCACCCACCAAAUGGUACUUUCCCUAAACACACAAAAUAUGUACGUAGGACGUAGCAACCUAAAGCACUUCCCUAGACUGGCAGUGUAUCUAAUCAUGCUCUCACAGCUCACACUUACUGAGGCGUAGAGGAAAAAUGAUCCAUACAUUACCAUUCAAGUGAAUGGCACUCAUACUAUUGCAUGUUGUAUGAGCGACAAAAUAGAAAUAUGAUGCAUAAACCCCAAGAUAGUACUUAAAUAGCCACCUUAGAGUCCUUAAUUGGGCAUAAAGGAUAUGACCACUGACACACUUAUAAUUUUUCAAACUUCAUUUUAACACCUUGGUCAUUAAUAGUAAGCAAUUAGUUUUGUUAAACCAUUUUAAUUUAUUUUAAAACAAGCUUAUAUUAAUCUGCUAAACCUUGCUCUGAUUCCCACUGUAAUAGAACCAUCCAAGUUAUAAAAAAUUAAGCCUAAUAGUGACCAUUUGCAAAGUCGAACUAUCGAGCUUAUGCCCAUAUAAUCCUGGUAGUCCAUGAAAUCUCAAGGAAUUUCAAACCUUUCUGCACACACAACCAAGAUUGUAAUGAGUUUAUUAGUCACCAUCCAUAAGUAACAUAGAGUUCACAUCAUUCUAGAAGUUACAUUAGAGUUUAAACAUAGUUAUUACAGACUAGAUUCAAAUGUAGCUUAAGCAUUUCGGUUUUUAGAAAAUCACACACAAACUUAGUUCAUUACAGUGCUAGGGUCCGAUCAUUCCCACAAAAGCAAAAGAUGAGAUAGAGUGAACACGCCCUUGGUCUAGUCAUCACCCAUCGCUGUGUACAAGCAAUUGAUGAAAUGCCCAUAAUAUAUCUGCCCAUAUGCAAAACAACAUGGGAAUGGAACCUUGAGUACGAGAAUGUACUUAGCUAGACUUACUCGUCAUAAACCAAAAAUAAAUGACAUCCAAAGAUCAUGAAAGGCUGUUGUAACACCCCAGUGUUAUGGUUGCAUUGAUCAUGUGCAUAGCAUAAGCAUCAUCAUCUACUAAAAGCAUAUCAUGAUCAUCAUCUAUCUUGAGCCAUGUCAUUCUAUGCAUAAUUGUGUUUUAAAUUGCUUAAAUAGGCUUCCUGUGCUUAUGUUUGAGUGAACCAUGCUUGUGUUUGUGCUUAAUGCCUUGGUAAUUAGUUUAUCUAUGCUUAACUUGACUUUGGGAACAAUGUUCAUGUUGAUCACUUCUCCAAAAUAUGCCUUUAAGUCAUACUUGUGUAACUAGGCCCUAAAAACCUCUUUUGUUUAGGCUUUUAAAAAGUGUUUUAUAAAUUGUUUGCAUGUCAAAACUUUCUACAGCAAAGUUGUAGAAAAUUUUAUAAGGAACAAAAGUUGUUUUAUGGCCAUCUCAUGAAAAUGAUCACAAAUAGCUCAAAAGUGACCCACAAGGCAGAUUUGGGGCUGUUUCCAACACUUGGAAAAUUUUCUAAGUCCUGGAACAAAACCAGUUUGCUCGAUCGAUUUUUAAAACUCUGUAUCUUUCAAUCCAGGCCGAUUUGGCUUUUGCUCCAAUUGACAAAGUUGUAGAACUCGGUUGGAACUCCAACUUCGUCAACUGUACCGUCCUCUAAUUCGCUCUGGUUUGGGAGUAAAUCGUUGCCAAAUUUGCUCUGUCGGACCGACAUCGUUUCUUCUGAAUCAAAGUGGAGCUCGCCGACGUGGCCGACCGGCGGCAGCACAACGGCGACAUUUGUCGUCCUUACGCCGUUCCUGGCCCUGCUUGUCAGCUCUCGUCGCGUGCAUGAAGUCCACGGCGUCGCCCCGCGCAGAGUGGACGCGUCCACUUCUCUCUACCUCGCCUCUCUCGCCAGAAACGCGGCCGCCGGGAGCUCUCCUUCGCGAGCUUACUCCGGCGAGCUCGCGCGCGUUCCCUGCUGCCCCAUUGCCCACCAAACUUCACCCAAAGCUCCGCCGUGAACCGCUCUCCAAUCUCCACCCUCUAACUCGCCGAGAAACCCACCGGUGAGCCGACAUUUCCUUCUUCCCCCAAAUCGGGUCGCCGUGACCAUCUUCUCCGGCGAACUCAAUGCCGAGCCCUGUGAAGCCUCUUGUCGUCUCUGGUUAGGUCCUAGAGGUAGCUUAGGUCCUUAGCGAGCUUUUACGCCACUUGGUGGACGCUCUACCAAGCUCUCCGUCGCCGGACACGGUGCGCAGCGCCGCCGUGCUUCCGCCGGAGAUGGGUGCUCUCGUGGCCAGCGUGUUCUACGAGGAUCCAAGCCAAGCUGUGUACCUAGGAAGCUUCGCCGUAGUCCGCUGGUGCUGUAGAAUGCCUUAGGUCGCGCUCUACCGGCCUGAGGGCUCCGGCGUAACGCCGAGCACCUCCGCCGAGCCGCCAUCGUCGACGGCGAGCCCUUUCCGGUGGCUCCGCCGUGGGGAAAAGGGGGUCAAUCGAUUCGCUAGGGUUUGGAGAUCACGCUGAUGCCCUUGGUUUGGCCGGAGACCUCGCCGUCGCGGAGAAAUCGCCGGCGAUUGUCGCAUCAGCCGUGAGGACGAUGACCCUGACAGGCGGGGUCCACUGUCAGCGUCGCGUCCUUCCCUCCUUUUCUUUUAUUCAAAAUCUAGAUUUUUGGCUUUCUUGCAAAAAUCAUAUCUCCUGUUUCUGAGAUCCAAAAAUUGUGAAACCAACUUUGUGGUAUUUCUUGAGAUGGCUAGUUUUUAAUAAAAAUAUAAAAUGAACCAUGUUUUCUGGGAAAAUAUUUAUUAAGGAUUUAAUCUUGUUAUUCAUGAAUAAAUUCAUAUCUCUGGUUAUACUAUUUAGUUUGCCAUGAAAAUUUUAUGGUAGCCUCUGUCUGAUACUAGAAUGUUAUGAUAAAUAUUUCAUGAUUUUUGGAUUAAUGCAACUUGGAUAUGUAAUUUAUGAUUGAAAUGUGGCUUGUUUCCUUGAUUAAAUUAUAUAAAAUAAUUGGUACUUAUGCUGGUGCUCUACUUUGGUAGUAAACCUGUUUAUGGCACUCCUCAUGUGUAAAUAAUCUGAAAUCUGUUGUUUGGCAAAAUACAAGUCAUGUUUUCUAAUUUAUCAAAUAAGCACCUAGCUACAUGGUAAAUGUAUAUCUUUAAUUUGGUAUGUGCAAUUGCUCUGAAAUUUUUAUGGUGAUACUUUGAUGCUAUCCUUGUACUUCUGUAAUUUUUGUAGAUUUUUCUGAGCAUCUUGACUGAUAUCUUGUAAUUAUGCUCUUUUCUAGAAUUAAUUAAUAAAUGCCUUGUUAAGUAUAUGUUUGAGGGUUAUCAUCUAAUGUUCUGGUAACCUUGUGAUAUGCUUGUGCUCAUAAGCCAUGUGGUUGGCAUGGGUUGUGUUUUGGUUAUGUCAUCAAAUAAUUAAUUAUAGGGUUAAAGGCUGUUCUGGACAGCAAGGGAGCAAUUUAACUUUUGUUUAAUGAUAAUUUAGUUUUCUGAGAAUCUUAUCUAAAUCAAAGUUGUUGUAAACUUAUUGAACUAGCUGUGGUUUAAAUUUGGGAUGAUUUGGUCUAGUAGUUUAAAAGUUAUGGCUGUUCCAAGUUGGGUUCCAGAAAUAGGUGCUCUCUGUUUUUCUGGGGCAGAACCUGGAAUUUUGUUUAAUUUACUGGAUUAAGCUAUGAAUCUUGCUGUGAUGUUUGAAGAUGAUUUGUAGACAAUUUCAUAAGCUUUCCAGAAUGUCCUCACUUAAGUGUGUUGGACCUUUGUAGCAGUAGUUAUGGUUUGUUUACUGAGCUGAUCUGUUUAUGUGCUUGCUGUUAUAAAUUAACUUGUUUAGUUUAUUUAUUCAUGUGGUUUUCUUGUAAGUUAACUUAGAAGUUUACUCUGUAAAUGAGUAUCCAGUGAGUUACUUAUGUUAUUAAGCAUACAUCUUUAGCAUGUGCAUCUUCUUAUUGUUCGAGCAUGCAAUAGGUGCAUCGGACGCGACAGCCUCCUACGAGCUGCAAGUGAAUCCCGAAGGUCAGGGGGCAGCCAAGAGGUGGAGGUCCAGCAAGCCGGACUCGAAGAGCCUGAAGAAGAAGUUGAGUGCCCGAAUCACGAGCCGGCGUCGUUCGUGAAAGACAAACCCCGGAGCAUUCUAAGUCUCCCUUUAUUUUCGAAAGUUUAGUUAAUAUGUUAUAUCUAUUGAUGCAUUACGUAUAGGAGUUGUGAUGAAACUUUUGCUGCAUUCUACUCUAUCCUUGUCCAGAUAACUCACCACACCCUGGUUGUAGAGUUAGCAUCGAGUAGCAGCUUAGCCAUGCUUUAAUCGGUAGAAGUCGGGUGAUAUCCUGUCACCUGCGUGAUAUAGGGUUAUGUAGGAUCGCGAUGGUCUAUAUGUGCUAUCGUGGAUGGAACCUGAUUAAAUUGACUUAAGCCGGGCGGAGUUUUGCAAGUUUGUAUUAACUCCGUCUGUGGCAGCUAAGGACAGAUCGUUGUACGUCCUCUUAUCAUGUUGAACGCAUGCCUGACACUUAGUUGGCCGGAUAACUCGUUCCGACCGCGAAGCCGAGUAGUAUGACUCAGGCCGGAAGACCGGCAAGUAUAAAGUGCGCACUACCGGAGGAAGUGCGGUGUGCGGGGGACCAUUGGCGUAAGCCCAAAGGCAGGUGAGUUAAAAAUCCUGACCUCCCUGGCAGAGUGGUAGCCCUGGGAGUGCGGCGCUGAUCGGAGCCGCGAUUCCUGAGUCGUACCAAAGGUGACCCGUUGGCUCUCCGGCAGGGGAUGCUUGUCUGAGUGCUAGGAAUAACCCUCCAGCUGGAUAGGAAUUCGAUUCGAAUCGCCGUCUCUCCCUGUCAGUGAGAACUUGACAGAGCAGCGGCAAACGUAGCAUCCACUAAUGAACUUGGUUCAAGAUAAUGAUGAUAGCAAGAAGAACAUAUGAUGAACUUGGUAUGGUUAUUAUUUUGUGUAAUAAUCAAGUGAUGUGUUGUAGUACAGGUGCUAAUCUAGUGGUAGGCUGAUGAUAAAUAAAUAUGAUGCUCUCAAAUUAAUUUAGUUGUAAGUUAAGCUUUUGGCAAAAGGUGAGUCAACCAGCUCCACUUCAUAUUUAGCCUUGCAUGAUCCUUGUUGUCUUUUAUGUUUUACUAGACGGGUAAGUCUAGCUGAGUACAUUCUCGUACUCAGGGUUUAUUCCCCACCUGUUGCAGAUGACAUCUUCUAUGACGGUUUCUGCAAGACCUGUCUCCAUCCCGCUGGGGAUGAGGACUAACCGUUGGGUACGGUUCCCUAACAACUUCGUACCUGUUGCUUUUGGAAGGAUGGUGUAGACUCUGGCAGUAACUCAAACUUAUGAACUGAACUUUGGAAUGUGUGUGUAACUAUUUUGCUUCCGCUACUUUGGACAAGUGUUGUAAUAACUUAAUACUCCGAUGUGGUGUCGCUUCGACGGCAAUGAAUGACUAUGUAACAUUCGCUGUGUUUAUGUUGAACUAUUACGAUCUUAGUUUGUUGCGAGUUGGUUUGAAGUCCUUCGUGAUUUCAAUUGACUACCGGGAUUAUAUAGGCUCAAGUUUAGAAACUUGAUUGCUGGUCGAUCGUUUCUGCACUUGAACUCUUAUAAUUUGGUCGGUUCUGUGACAGCUGUAUACUGGGGUAGCUUGAGAAACUUUGCGCAAAAGCUUAAGCCAAAAAGUGUGUAACCCUUCCGUUUAUUUGGCACAAGUUAAGUAACAUUACCUGUCAUCUACAUUAGCACCUAUGCUAUAACAAUCAGUUGAUUCAAUAUAAUAGUACCAAAUUCACAUAACAUUCUCACUUCAUCAUAUACCAUAACUACAAUGUUUUAUAGUCCUUACUACAAGAACGAAGCUCAUGUCAAGUGUUCACUAUCCAGAAGCGAUGGCGAUUCGAAAUAAUUUCUAACUAGCUGGCGAGUUAUUCCCUACAGAAACCACACUCACUGAUCAAGUGAGCUACAGGUCACCAUAUUGCACUAUCUAGGACCAGUUCGGGGGUUCGACAGGCAACACCCGUACCCGAGGACCGUUCGGGCGACCGAGAUAUCCAAGGUAUACCAAUUUUGCGCGUCGCGCCCUCAUCAUUCGCCUCAACCAUCAGCAAUACAGUGCAUGCAUCGGGCCGAUUCUCAACUCGAAUAGAGUUCAUGCUUCACGGUAAGAACGACUUAUCCUUCCAGUUAAGUGUGGGGCAUGCAUUCAACAUGACAAGAUGGCCAUCAACGAUCGGUCCUUAAUCGACACAGGUAGAACCACAAUGGUCUAACACCCCCAUAAGACUCAGCCUGGUCACAACUUACUUUCCCACACUUGGUUACUUCCCACGAUAGCAUAAAAUAGCUAAACCUUUUGGUAUCCACCUAUAUCUCACAGGUGAUAGGGAAUCAUCCGACUUUUAUUGUGCUAAGCAAGCUAAGCAUAGACUCUGAGCCUACACUACGUAGGACAAGGUAAGUAGACAAGUGGUAAUCCAAGGUAUAACAAUGCACCAACGGUGUCAAGCAACUCAACUUAAUGCAACAGGAACACCAACAUGAUAUAUUAAUAUAAGUUAGCAAAAAUUAGGGAGACUUAGAAUGCUCCGUGGCUUGUCUUUCUCAAGAGUGCUAGGCCGGUGAUCGAGGCACUCUUGAAGCUGUUGUUCCGGUUCGUGUCCUUCUGGAAGCUCCUGCACCAGGGUUUCCUCGGGUUCCUCGGUCACUACCUCGUUCUCCUGCGAGCCUAUAUGAUGCGUAUGCAUAAGUGAGCGGAGAUGCAGGAUGCUCAUAGUGUGGGAUCAUGUAGAUGAUUGCUAGAUGACCAUGAUAUGAUAUUUACGGAGUAAGUGCAUACUUCUUCUCCGGUAAAGAAGAGCUAUGAUACUACUAAAAGCGAUACAAAUUCUACCAACUAGUCAACAUCAUCCAUGAACAUGUAGCCUAUGUACAACAUCUAUUGCAUUCUCUUCUACAAGCUACUUUCAAACCAGCAAGCCAACAUAAUGCUUCAAAGAUACGCCAACAUAAUUGAUACUUCCAUGCAUAUCAAUUAUUUAAUUAUUUAUUAACUACUAGACCUAUAACAGUAACAUACACCUUUGUACUUCAAUAAAUUCUACAAAAAUUAUAGUAGGUUACAGAGGACAUGUUAAACCUACCAUAAAAGUUUCAUGCCAUUUGGGCAAGCAUCAUGACCCACACAAAAUUCACAAUUAUAUUACUCCCUAUGGUGGAAAAUACCCUACUCAUGCAAAAGUGUCAAACAACAGAUUUCAUAUUUUUCUAAAUUACUUCCUAACAUAAGAAAGGUCCACAAAAAUUUCUAGAUUAAUUGCAUGUACAUAUUAUUUAUUAAAAAUCAUAAACCAUUGACAUGCAAGCAUUUAAUUCACCGUAAAUGAUUUUACAUAGCAAAUAUUCAUUCUCAUAUUUUUCCCAGAAGCGGUACAGUCAUACAAAGCUAGCAAAACAAGAAUCACAAUUUUCUGACUUAAAUUCUAUUUUCUAUGCAUUUUCCAAGAAAUCAGCAAAUACAUGUAUUAAAUAAAUCUACACAGGAAAUAUGUUACAACAUGACAUGCAAUUACAUCAAACUGUACAUCUGUAUUUUUAGAGCACAACAAAAAUUAUUUCACCAUUUUUCGAGCCCUAUAACUUAAGAUAUGAAUUUUCUAUGGUUUAAAUCAUUUUUGAAAAAAGUAUUUAUAAAACAAAACCGAAGAAAAAUGCUACGCGCACCACAGAUCUACCCCCAAGUGACACUGGCAGGCGGGACCCGUGAGUCAGCUGCCCCCUCGUCAGUGCCUCUGUGCUUUCGCGGCCAAUGGCCAGCUAGAUCUCGCCGUCGGCGAGAUCUCCGGUGGCAGGGUCGCUGCAUAUUGCUUCGUCUCUAGGAGACGAACUUGGUGCGCCCCUCAACUAGGUCCGAGGAGGUCCGUAGCGGUGCGAAUGGCACACGGCGGCGCUCAGCGGCGGUGCUCACCGGCGUCAAGCUAUCUCCAGUCAAGAAGAGCGAGGGAUAAGGCGCGCAUGAGCUUCGCUAGGUCACGGUGGACCAAAUGCACGUGAAAAAUAGAGGAAGAGAGCAAGAAAAGGGCGUCGUUUGCGCGAGCCAAAAGCUUGUCGGAGUUUGAGCUCGCUCCGGUGAGCUCUGGUGGCCAGGGUGUGGCAUACCGGGGUGGUUGAGUGCGAGCACCGGUCGGAGACGAGGGAGAGGAAGCGAAUGGUGCCCUUGGCUACGAGCUUUGGUGGAUGGUGUGGCCGGUAGCGAGCUCGAGAGCUCGGCAGCAAUGGCGAGGCGACGGUGCUGCCGUCGCGGAGCGGGGGCGAGAGAGAUGACGAGAGCAAGCGAGGACAGGCGCAAAUGAGAGAGGAGAGCGAGGCGGGCACGUUGCCGGUCCUUGUGGCUGACUAGGUAUUGGCAAAGCACCGCAUGGCUGCCACGCGGCGGCCACGGCCUACCGGCGUCAAGCCACGGCGAUGGCAGCCGCUGCUGCCCGCGCGCGAUCGAGGGGAGGGAGGAGGGGAUCGAGGCCCGGCCGGCUUCGGCUAGUAGGCCAGAAGCGAGGCGGCUACACGCUAGGCGUCCCUGCCCUUUUUUCUCUUUUUUUAAUUUCUUUCUCAAUUGUUUUUCAAACACUUUUUUGAGCAUUUUAAAAUUAUUUUCAGAAGUUGCCCCAAAAGUAAAAGUUGCUCCAAAUAAAAUUCUCUACAACUUUGCUUUAAGGUGUAACUCAAAGAUCCAAAUAGAUUUUGAACUACAAACUAAAACUAGUUCUAGGUUUGAAUAAAUUAAUUUUGGGGAUAUUUGGAAUAAAUUCAAAUUCUUCAACUCUAGAGCUCCAAAAGUUUUACCAAAAAUUUCUUAAUUCAAGUUAGGCAUAAAGCAAUCAAGUUUGGGCAUCACAAGCAAUUUAAAAUAUAACAUUACAAUGUAGCAUAAUUAAAUCUCUAUUUAAAUUAUUGCACAUAAAAGCAUAUCAAAUUUAAAAUGCACAUGGAAUGACAUGCUCAUGCUUACGAAGAUGCUCAUGUAAGAUUUAUGAAGCCCUAAUGCAUGCUUAACACCUAAGGUGUUACAAUAUCCUCGCUGCGUUCUUCAGUCCGGAGCGGCUCGAGCGUCCAAUGCCCUUUCUAGUGUGUGAUUCGGACCACAUCUGACAUCAACAACCUCCAAACAAUUCCUUACUCCAAACCAAGCAUCUAGCUCAGUUUGUGUUGGCGUUAAUCGAUGAUGCCACCUGCCAAGUGCCAAGGCUUGACGACUUCAACCAGCGGUGGUGCCACUGCUUUAAAAAGGCUUAUCCACGAGUAGUGCAGCAUCUUCGAAACAAAAUGCAAUGCAACUUUGCUCAUAUACUUAAUACAUCAUGAGUGAGAGUUCAUUUUGAAUUGCGUUGAUUAAAUUGAGUACUAGUUUAACAACAUUAUCCGUACAUCAAUCCAGGAAUAAUGGAUUGGCUUGAUGAAUCUAUGAGCGGUUGGGCGCUGCUAAGAUUGACGGUGACAUGUGCCGUGUCGCUCUUUUUUCCGUGUAUGCACACAAAAAGACAUAUGGAGGAUUAGCUUGAAACGACUGAGAAACCGACACGCAGAUGAUUUGCUCGCUCCUCUACUUCUGUGUCACACUCACACAGACAAUGGCAUAUUAAAGCCGUUAACAAGUCCCUGCUCAUGCCGACGGUGGUUACAGAGGCUCAGCAGAUUUCAGUUAUGAGGCUACCAGCAGACCAACAGGUACAAAACAAGGAUAUAGAUAGAUCAAUGUUAUGUGGCUACCAGCAGAGCAACGUACAACAACAAAUGUUACUGUCGUCCUUGGCAGGCAUCAUACGCAUACGGUCAUACAGUGAAAGAAACUGGACUGCAUGGGAACGAAGCUGUGCUUCUCACUCAAUCGAAAAAAAGAAGCAUCCAUCAGUAUGCAUACAUAUUUAUAUAUGUACAAGCUCUUGUCGGGGCCACAUACUUGCAACAACCGAAUUAUCGGCCGCCAUGACACUGUAGCAGCUACAGAAAACGGAAAAGAGUGGCACACGCUGGCUGACUGGUAGGUCGUGCGUACAUCCAUCCACCGGCUCUCAAAUCAAUCUCCAUCACCUCGUCAUAUAUAUUAUCUAUAUUUAGAGAAAAAAAUCUCUCUAUCAUGCUUUUCCGUUCUUGUAUACUCUCUUCACUAAAAAAAUUACAAUUCUAAUUAACAUAGUAACAAAUCAAAUUAAAUUGCUUUUGAUCAAGUUCACAUAAAAAGACAUCAACGUUUAUGAUACAAUAUAGGUGUCGUUGGGUUCAUUACAAACAUAUUUUCAUACUAUACAGAUUUUAUAUCAUAAAUAUUUUAAUAUUUUUCUCUAAUUUUAGUUUAUCAAAGUUUAGAUGGUAUGAUUAACUGCAUUCCUUUCAAUACGCCCAUAGCCAGUUGGUAGGCUCUGAUGAAGCCUAACUUUACAUAAUAUACGUGCAACUGAACCAUAAGGUAGUGUUGACAUCUUUCACGGUUACACAGUACCAGAUGUUCUGUAGUCGUUCACUUGUCUUUUCCAGUUAGAAGUGGAAUCUUAGAAAGAUACUCGCAGCUUCCGUAUAUGUGCGUGCAUGUGCACACAUGGUGUCGAGACGUUGGGGGCAAACGUCUCAUUCUUAUUUACUAUACGUGUGCAGCAAAAAAAAAGUAAAAGAAGGUUUGCUCAGACAUAAAGGGUCAAUCGACUAACACACUUUUGGGACUAACCAUGUGUACAUCUUUUAAAUAAUUCCAUUUUUCAAGGGGAGAUUUUGAUCUUGUUUUUUUUAAGGACAUGCUCGUAGGAAGUUAGUUUGUGCCCUCAUAUGCUCCUUUAUUGGUUAUUUUAAGUUUUUGUUGCUUUUGUGCUUGUUCCAGCUAGUAUAUAAAUAUAUAUCUAAGUGGUGGGAGGGUCGGACAGAGAAAAAGAAUAUUUGUGUGUGAGAGGUAAAAAAAGAAAAAUGCCAUGGUACCUAGAUAAAUAGUGCAUAAUUCGUUGGAAGGGUGCAAAAUAAUAGAUAAUUCUAAUAAAUAGUUAUUGAUUCCAUAAUCCCCUAUCUUUUCGACAUGCAUAGAUUUUUUUUUGCUCUCAUACAGUACUAGUGAAAAUUGCUUAAUUUAUUUAUACAAAAAAGGAUAUUUUUAAUAGUUAUCCAUUUCAUAAUUCCCUGAUUUAUUGAUGCGUAUAUUGUAUAUUUUCAGAUGAAAGCUAGAAUGGAAAUAUCACAAUAGAAGUAUAAUAUGUCAAGGUUGAUGUUGUGUUUCACGGAAAGAAGUGUCGAAGUUUGUUGACAAUGCGAAGAAGCAUGCUUUGAGGAGAAUCAGAAUGCCCAUGCAGCCGUGCUCUCACUACAAGAUUGUGACAUGAUUAGAAACUGAAGUCAAUUUUCACUAUGUCAAGUGGGGUUUUUUGUAACACCCUAAAAUUUUGCUCCUUUCAAAAUAGAUAUAAUUGAUUUAGUUUUGUAUUUUUGUGCUCAUAAAAAUAUAGGAAAAAUAAUAUUUUUCAUUAAUUUAAAAUUUAUCAUAAGGUUAGCAACAUUGUUGUGCAUAUAUGCUGCUGCAUUCGAUUUCAUGUAAUGUUUGCUUGUUGCUCCUUUGUGUGUUGUUAGUGAGUGAAGUCUUUAAAAUACGUUUAGUAGAUCGAUCUCCGUUUUUCGGUACGUAUUUAUCUUUUUCUACAAUCAAAUUCCUUGUCUCUCAGAUCAAGAUUUCAUUCAGAGUCUCUCAGAAUCUUUUCUUUCAAACCUAAGUCACUCGUUUCAGUUUCUUGUCCAUCAAGCAAUCUCUACAAACUUUUUGAAAAAUUUUCCGGUCUUUUCUGUGAGCAUAAUCUAAUUUUUAGAUGCUCCAUAUUACCUUAUCAUGCACUCCAAAUACUUUAUUUGGAUUGCUCAUGUUCCAUAUUGUCUCUGAGAAUUUUCACCAAAUUUUUGGAGCUUUCGGAAUAUUUUUUCAUGGCUUAAAUAAUAAUUCUACACUUUUCUAGAAUUAUUUUAUCCAUGGAAUUAAUUAAUUCUGAAAAUAAUAAAAUAUCUCUUGCUCUUCUACGCUUAAAUUUCAGGUGCAAUAAAUUUAAUAAAUUCCAAAGACCAUAUUUUUAUUUAUUAAUGAGCUUUAAUAUUUAUUUAGGCCCAUUAGUAAAGAUGGUAGGUGCAACAUCAAUUAGUACCAUAUUGCUAUUUGAUGUAGAUGUGAAUAGUAUUUCUCCCUAUAUAUAUGUACCAAACCUUUAGGUUGAACAUACCCAAACUGCCAUAUCAGAAGCCCCUAGUUUGGGAAAUCUCUUGCGUAGUAAAUUAUAUUUUUCUCCCGUCCUCGUUGACAUUACCUUGGCACCAUGUAUGGUCGAAAUCGUCAUCGGAGAGAACUCCAGUCUGCUGCUGUGUAUGUGCGAUCAUCAUCUGUGUCCGAGCAAGCAAAGGCAUCUAACAGCAGCAGGUCAGCACGCACGUCUAUCUAGUGCCUGCACUCAUCGUCGAUUUUCUUCUGAUCAUCUACCUCCAGCUAACGGUGAUUUAGCCAUUUAAUUAUUCACAUCUAUAUUCUUUCAUUUGGUAUGCCUAUUAAAUUUUGUACGUAAUCAGUUAGAAUCACCCGUAGGGUGUAGGUGAUGGUUAUAUAUGUAGUGCAUCUAAGGAAGGUUUGGCCAGCAGAACUUCGACCGUACGUACCUGUUGUUUGAUGGUUUUCGCAUUGUAAAAUCUAUUCAAUGUGAUAUACGUGCUGGCAGCGAUGCUUUCUUUUUCUUUUGCAAAGAUAAAAUUUAACUUUAUUAAAUUAUAUGACAUUAUUUAUAAGCAAAAUAAAAUAUGAUUAAAUUUAUUUUAGUCUUCUAAUCUCAAUUAAAAUUUGACCUCCAUUUGGAUAUUUCUCUACAAUAUCUUAUACAUGCUUUAAUAUCGUUAAAAUAAAUAAAGCGCAUAGGCUUUUUCCUUUAUAUAAUAUAAAAGUCCCGACAGUUGUUUGUUCUAAAUUGUAGCUUCGAUUAGCGUGAUCAUCGAGCCUGUGUUUUCAUAGCAGCGUGUAGGAUAUCUUCAAAAUAUUUUUGCUUGUUUUUUUUUAUAUUUGGUGUAUUGUUCUAAUAGUAGCUUUAAUUGCUUCGUAUAUGUGUGGCCUCGAUUGUUUGUGUGAUGGAUGAUCGAGUUUACGGUGAAUAAUCUGUGGUGAUCAAGAGUGCUACAACAAGCAAGAUCAGUACUUGGACAAUUAGCAACAUCAACAAGAGCAAUUGGAUUAUGGCAAGUAUUUGGAUUUUAAUUCUGUGAUCAUGAUCUUGUGACUUCAUUAAUGUUAAGUAAUAAACUAUAAAAAUGACUUCUUAGCUACUUGAUGAUUUAUCUGUACAUGAUCACCCGGGAUAACAGUACAACCAUGAGGGCUAUAAUGGCUCUGGCUUUAGUUAAGUAUGAGUAAUUUUUCUAGCUCGUUAGUGGUUACCCGUGUGGCGCAAUUGGGGAAUAGCAGACCGUGGAUUCCUGCGGGUGGAUCACACGGACUGACUAAUGAAACCAAGUGGCCCUAACUUGUUAGACGAACCUUUGAAAGACUUUAUAGUGAUCCCUGCCGACCUUCGUUGGUAUUGGGCUAAGAGGCUGAUCACGUCGAGCGAAAGGGUAAAUCAUGACUCAUGAGUAAAGAUAUGCAACCUCUGCAGAGUGUUAAAAACUAGUAUACUAGCCGAGCUCAUGGUCAGGAGCAGCCUUGGGGACAUCUACAUUAAGGGUCCUAUGUGUUAAAUAUACUCAUUAUUUAUUGUUUAAUGCUUUACAUUAUUUAUGUCACAUUGAUCGUGAGAUUGUGGCAUCUAUACAAUCUAGUUGCUAUACUUGUGGAGUUCGACAUGGACUCACUCUUGCUAUUUCCCCACACCCCUCAUGAGAAGUUUUGGGCUUGUGAUCAACCAGUCGGUUGGAUCCUGUAGAGUGGAGUUAAUACCCGAAGUUUGGAGUUAUCUAUCCGCUGUUUGCUAUCAAAGGUUAUAUCUUUUAUACUAAGUACGUUAUAUAACUUAUACAUUGUCUUUUGAUAUUACCCUUUAUUUGUAGCUAUAUGUGAGAUUUGACUUCUAAAACUCACAUAUGGUGUGUAUCUGAUUUUGUCCUUAAAAUUGGGUAUUACAGUUUUUCAUCCAGGGCUACACAAUUUGGACCUUUUAUGGUGAGAAAUAGGAUUUCUACAUUUUUUACAUCGUUGCAGAGAAACUAUCAUUCUGCUAUGACAUAUGAUCACGGUGACCCAUGCAAAACCACAGCCGAUCAUGAUGAUUAUAACACGUUGGAUCAUAUUUUUGGAGACACAAACGGUGAUGGCGAUGAUUGAGAUUUCAAUAAUUCUAAGGAUGUGAAGUUCAUUAAAGAGAUGCAGCACCACCUCAAUGACAGUGAUGACCUGUUACAUGGACAUGCCUAGGUGGCUUGAUAAUUUUGCAGAGAUAUAUGAAGAAUGUGGCAAAAGAGCCUCUUUAUAAAGGUUCCCCAACAGAAUUGACGGUGCUGCAUUUUUAGUUUCUAGAUGUUGAUGUCGAAGACACGAUUCAGAUGGGUCAGAUGCUACUUUCAAUAAUCUAUUAUGACUCCUUGGUUCUUUGCUUCCAAAUGGCAACAAAUUAAGUGCACACCAAUACCUUGAAUCUUGUACGCUGUAGAAGAAACUAAUUUAGCGAAGCAACUAAUCAAACCAAUACAAAUUUAGCGAAGAAACUAAUCAAACCAGUCACGAUGGGCUUGUAGAAUAUACACGCUUGCCCUAACCAUUGAAUAUUGUACACCAAGGCACCACAUAUGAGAGCUUCACCAGUUGUCCGAGCUAUAACAUGACCAAGAAGGCAAAUGCUUAUGUUUAGUCAAUGCAGAUUAAGGGGCCUCAAUAAGAGAGGUAAGGUUUCUCAUGUGAAGGAUGAAGAAGGUUCCAUAUAUAGGAGAAUGGCCCUCGUGAUGUGGUAUAUACCCAUGGUCGACCACUUGUAGUGUCUAUUUGGAAACCCUAAGGAUCCUAAGCUGAUGUACAAGCAUGCAUCUGAUGAGCGUGGGAUGUGUGAUGUCAAGCUCUAACACCUUGCCAAUGCUCGACAAUGGAUGCAUUUUUAAGCCACAUACAUGAAGUUUCCUGAUGAUCCGAGGAAUUCCAUGUUCGCGAGUACCAAUGUGAUGAAACAAUAUUCUAAUUUUAAUAGCAAGCAUUGCAAAUGGGCUGUCAAGCUUACCGUCUUCAUCUUACAUGAUUGUGUCAGAAUCACAUGAACUGUUCAUUGGCCAUCUUAUUUCUAGAUCAAAGCAACCUACAAUUGAGAUAGAUGUGUUUUUGGAGCCACUACUGAAAGAUAUGAAGAAUCUUUGGGAAGAAGGGUCCACAUGUGGGCUGAGUAUCAAAGGGGUACUUUCAUGCUAAGAUCCAUCAUCUUUGUUACCAUCAAUGAUUAUGGGGAUUUGUUUUCACUAACGACGUAGAUCAUAGGGAAUACCAGUUGCAUACUAUGCAUGAAUGAGAUCUACAAUAUUUACCUUGAUGUAUCUUAUAAGAUGGUGUACAUGAGGCAUAUAUGAUUCAUAGUUAGAAAGCACAUGCAGCAGUCUAGUUGUAUCAAUAUAGAAUUUGACAAUAAGGAUGAACCGGAAUCUACCCACCAACUCCAAAGUGCUAUACUGCACGAGUGCUUUGAAUACUAAAGGCAACAAGGUCAUAUUAGGUCUGAAGAUAAAAGAGCGGAAUAGGAGGAAGACAAAGAGGAACAAGUAGAGGAGAGUGUUCUUCCUUUCGAGAAGUCAAUUUUCUUCUAGAACAUGCCAUACUACAAGGAUUUAGAGGUUCCCUAUGCCAUCAUACACACUUGGAGAAGAAUAUUUUCAAAAUAUCAAUUGGCCCCUCUUAGACAUCAAGGGAAAGUCAAAGGAUAGGUUCAAGUCACAGAUGGACCUUGUCAAUCAAAGCAUGAAACUGAAGCUUCACCAAGAUCCACUACCCAAUGGGAAAUUCAACAUCCUAGCUGCGAACAACUACCUAAUUGACUCUUCACUAUAGAUGUUUGACUGCCAAAGUUAUUAAAGUGUUUGUGUGAUACUUCUACCAUCGCUUGACUGAGGAUGCAUCCUCCUAAGGAAUGAAACAGUCUAUGGAAAACCAUCCAUGCAGCAGUGGCAAUGGGGCUGAAUUCCACUAUCAUUUUGAACACCGAAUCAACUGGGAUAGGUGUUAUUGCCGCCAGCCCCAAAAUGACGGUCUAGUGAAGCGAGUGUAAAGAUAGAGUCAUUGCCAUCAGGCCUAAAUGACUGCCAAGUGAACCAUCUAGGAUGGAUGUUAAUUUCUCUGGUAGGUGUUAAUUUACAAGCUAUAGAGACCACUUUGUGUGGGGGCUACAUCACAAUGGAUGAUUUUUAGUCAAAUCCAUGUAUUGAUCAUUAUUAGGAAUCGAAGCUAUACCAAAUAACACAUUAAUUUGGAAACUUAAACUACCUCUUAAAAUCUUAUAUAAGGGAGAAAUCUUGAUAAAAGACAAUUUAGCAAGAUGACAUUGGCAAGGGGAUAGGAAACAUUGUUUUUGUUCUUUAGAGGAAUCCAUACAACAUUUGUUCUUUGAUUGUCAUUUUGCUAAAUCUGUGUGACGAAUGAUUUAGGUUUUGUUUAAUUUAAUACCCCCUACUAGUGUACACAAUAUGUUUACAGGCUGGUUACUAGGGUUUAAUAGGAAACUAAAAGCCAAAAUUGUCGUGGGUGUUAGUGUGAUGUGUUGGGUAAUUUGGUUAACCCAGAAUGAAGUGAAUUUGGUUAACCUGGAAUGAAGUCGUCAUUGAUAGGAUCACAGUAUAGUCUUAUUUGUAGGUUAUCAUUAGAGAGACGUACUAGAUUAGGUUUUGGUCCUUACAUCAGAAGGAGGAGGAUGGCCAAAUGAUGAAGAUGGGAUGCAGGAAGUUUGGGACCACUACGAUGGAGGUGUUUGCAUGAAACAGGUGGAGAUUCAGGAAUAGAAUUACAUGUUAACUGUUGCAUUUAGAACUUCUACCUUUGUCUGCUUUGCUCCAAAACUUUGUUUUUCAGAUUGCUUGAAACCUUGUUUGAUACAUUGUGUUUGGUUGUAAUAUGGAACUACUAUAUGUAUACAUUAGUCAAUCCAAAAGUAGGGAUAUUAACAUAUUUCCUUCACUAAAAAAGGAUGGAUGUUGUCAUUAUAUUACAGCUAAAUAAUUGUGCCAUUUUAUUGAAAAAAGGAUGAUAGGGAAAUCAUUAAAGCAUUGGUGUGAUGCUUCCACCAUAAGUUGAAUGAUAUCGAGCCCUCCUCAGGAAGUAAAUGGGAGGGGAAACUUGUACCACAAACGGGUUAACAAUAGAAGUGACAGUGGAGUUGCCUCUAUUGCAUAAAAACCCAAGCUGCCUGGAUAAGUGUUAUUGCCAGUGUCCCUCCAUGACCGUCUAGCCCAUUUCCAUUUUCAAGGUUAGCCUAUUUAACUAGGGUCUGGAUCCACCUCUUAGACUCAAUCCACACACUCUUGACUCCACACUCUCUUGAGCUAAUCAUCUUUUAUUUCCUCCAUGCCAUGAAGUGUUUAGAUUCCUUAACCUUGCUAGCCCUUAGCACGAGAUGCAGAUCUACAUCCCUCAAUGCUGAGAGCUAGCAACGUUAUGGGGUACAAAGAACCGCAUUGAGAUGAGUUUUGCAAGAUGCUCCUGCUCCAUCCUUUUGUGAGGUGUUGUUAGUGAACAGGGAGGACCUUCAUGAUCACAAAUCUUCUUGCAUAACUUGUGUUAACAAAAGAUCUACAUUCAUCUGGUUCACUGUAUUCAUGGGCUUGAUACUCGAUUGGGGGUGCUUUGAGUUUGGUGAUGUGCUCCUUCUUCAAGAUUUUUGCGUGCAUUGUAUUCCAUCUUGACUAUGAGAGUUGCGUCAUCCCUUGACUAUGAGAGUUGCAAGAUGGGAGGUUGGGAUCCUCAAUGAGGGUGAUGUAAUUUUGUGAUAUGGUGCAUCGUUCUUUAGAUUUGAUAAUCUUUUUACCAAGGAUAGAGACUGCAUCCCUUGACCCUCGGAGGCUACCAACAUUAUGGCAGCGGCUCAGAUCUGUUGUUGUAGACUACAUGUAAACUGCCAUUUUAUAUGGAUCUUUUAUCAUAGAGACCUUAAAUGGAAACUAGAGUAUCACCUUGAGAAUAAAAAAUAACAAUAAAAUACAUUGGAUGGGAUGAAAUGUGACAUUUAAAAAGUACACUGUUUACUUAUAACUUAUCAGGGAAUACAUAUAAUAUAUGGUGUUGAUGGUGGAUAAUGUCAACAAUUUAUAAUUGAAUAAACAUGAGAAAGGGUACAAAUGAAUAAAUCUAUGUAAGUCUAGGGUUUAAAUGUGAUAAGUUCCAUAUGUUCUACUAAAUUAUUAUUUUUUGCAAGAUUAUUCUAGGAACGCAAUCAAGGAGGAUAUAUUCAUUAAGUAAAACAACCAACUUGUUCCAUGAAAUAUACAUUAGAAGACUCUAGAAGGAUCAAGAAGUCACUAUGCAAAAGCGGACCCCAAAAGAGCUCUAAAAGGGACCACCUGGUCUCCCCCUUGUGUCGGUCGGCCUCCCCCUAUGCCGCCUCGCCUCCUCCUUCUAGAAUCUUAUUCCACCGACUCCUAGGUUGCAUCUCUAACGUAUGUUAAGGUCGGUUUGAUCCAAGGGCUCUCGGUGAUUCUCCUUGGCUAUAUAACCUGACCAGAGCCCCCUGAGGCAUAAGUGAUUGAAGAUCUAGUUAUCCAGAGCCAGAAAUCCAAAUUCCUUAGAGUUCCUCUAGUUCUAGGGCUUAGCUAGUAGGAUUACGUCAAGAAGGAGGCAAGUAGAUUAUAUGCUUGGAUUUUGGAAGUUGCCAGGAGUGUGGAUUUUAGGUAUAAUUCAUUGUAACCCUCUCCCUUUGUAUUCUCCACCAUCUUCGUGUGCAUGAUACAGUGUCUAUGGCAACAUUAGUAUUCAUAUUGUUCAUGUUAUUGAUUACAACAUGUAAUAUCUACUUUGAUUAUAUGUUUAGCAUAGUGAGUUUGUUAUUAUGUUUAUGCAUAAGACGUAUAGCACUUACCUUAACAUACACAGGGUAAGUGGUAUGCAUUAUGUAAGUGUGGUGCUUUGAUAUUGAAUUUUUGUGGACGCACUCUAUAUAUCAGGUUCUCAGGUAGUUGGUAGGUGUGAUAGACCUAUUGAUUCUUCUAUAGUCCUCUCUCCUUAUAUUGAAUAAGUAGGGCCCGUGUCGCAAUGGUUGUGCAGAAUCUGUUCCCAAACUUCCUAUCAUUGAUGCCCCUUAUGUGUAGAUGUAAUAGUAAUUCUUAUUGAUGAUUGCUAGAUGUUCUUGCACUAAUUGAAGUAAUAUAUUAAUAGUAAUUACAGAAUGACUUAGGAGUUAUGCUUCUAAUAUUCUAGUUGGACUAGGCUAUUUCUAUAGAUAAAGUGCUCUGAGUAGUUUAUCUAUUUAUCAAUUAUGAUGCUUGAUCUAUACUUAUCAUUUAUAUAUCUUUAUCAUGUGACUUACCCCUGAUUACGAGUAGAGUAUAUGAUAUUGAUUAAGUCUCUCUUACAUAAAGUAUAGUCAUCAAUACUAGUUAUUCACGUAUAAGUUGUACCUUCUUAGUGGUAAAAUUAUAAAUCGAUAACCUAGUAAUACUCAGGUAGAUGGCUACAAUGGUAUAAUUAUUUGUGCUUAAAUAUAUUCAUCUUUAUAAUUCUGGCUGAUCAGAUAAACUAAUAGAUUAAUACCAAAUUACUUCUAGCUCAGUUGCUAGAGAUGGCAACCUAGAUUAAUGCUAAGAGGUAUAGGUUAACAAAAGGUGACUACUGUAUUAGUGACAUGUUAAUAAUUGCCAUAACAUUUCUAGUAUCAUUCUAGUAGCGAUGCUAUGAAAUGUCAAUAAGCAUUCUUAGUAUCGUUGCCAGGGAGGUAUAUAGACUUAGGAAGUAUUGACAACUUUACAUUUAUGAUGGGAUUGAUUGAUUAAUUGAACUCUACUCAGAGAGGCUUACCGUUGUUUUGUCCACUUGUGUAUCUUAUAUGCAGGGUGAUGCAUGAUUGGUUUUGAUCUUCUAAAAAAUUACACAGACAAUCUAGAAGCUUUACUCAAGAAGACUAGAGCUAGAGUCAAGAAAGUUCUUACAGUAGAUUUAGAAGAUAGCUAGGUAAGAAGAAGCUUAACAAUAGAAUUUGAAGCCAUGGCAAACAAGAGUCUCCAUAAAUUCUCUGCUCUAACAACUACCAACAUUCAUACGGGACCUAAAGUCAACAUUGGAGAUAAUGGAAUCUAGCUCAAGCCUGUGCUUAUCACUAUGGUACAAGCUAGUUACUUUUGUGAAAAGACUCAUGAAGAUGCAAAUGCACAUUUACAACACUUUGUGGAGAUUUACAACACCUUCACUAUCAAGGGAGUAACUAAAGAUUAUAUUCUACUCUACCUUUUCCCAUUUUUACUAUUAGGAAAAGCUAAAUAGUGCUUCUAUUCUAACAAAGUGAGACACACUACAUGGGACAACUAUUCAACUGCUUUCCUAGCCAACUUCUUUCCCACGGCAAGACUAGUGCUCUACGUUGGAGAAUCUCAAGCUUUUAGCAACAACAUGAUCAAUCAUUCCUUGAGUCAUGGGAACAUUUUCAAGAUUAUAUUUCAGAAUGUCCUCAUUAUGGGAUGGAGAAUUGGCUACUCUUGCAGACCUUCUAUCAUGGGCUAACCACUAGCACCCAUGAAACUAUGGGCGCUGCUGCUGGAGGUGCUUUCCUGUCACUUAAUAUAGCAAAUGCAAUAAUAGCACUUGUUGAGAAGAUAGCCCCCAACUAGAGCUGAUAUGACUACAUCACCAAGCAAUAUGUCACAACCUCCAAGUCAAGCUACACCCACUCCAGUUUCACCUACACCGACACCAGCCCAAGUCAUCAAUGGACCGAUUAAACGUAGUCGUGCAAAGAAGCUACAACAAGAGGUCCACGCGCUACUUUGUGAGAUUCAUUUUAAUAUUAAUGAUAAUUAUAUACUACCUAAGUGUUGUACCUUGAUUGUACUCAGGUAUAUAGAAGAAGAGAAUGAUGAAUCGGACCCUGAAGAAUGGACCAGUGCAAGUCCCAGAAGACACUAGCAAAACAAACCAGAAGAGUCAAAAACGGACCAGUGGAAGUCAAGAACAGACCAAUACAAAGAAAUCUUCAUAACUCUUUACUCAAAAAAGCUAUGAAGGUCCAUGAGGACUUGUUAGAAAGCUUAUCGAGUCAACAUUCAAAUUAAUCUAGUGGCGACCAGUUUGGAUACUCCAUAUUGUCUGCAGACUAGAAUUAGUAUAGACUGCUCAGAAGGUCAACAGUCUGUCAUGACAGAAUAUUGGUACAACUUGCAUGUAAAAUUGUACCAAUAUACAAUGUUUCGUGCUGGUUGGCAUACAUUGCUGGAAAGCCCUUUGAGUCUAGUGUCACACCUAAGAAAUGGUUCAUCAUUUGGACUUUCCAAUAAGAAGUUAUGGUCAGUUUAUUGGAAACUGCUCUGGAGGCCAACAAUCACACGAAGCGAGUUCGGAAAUCCAUUCCGAGGGGACCUUUCACAGUGCCUUCCCUCAGAAACUCUAUUCCGUUUUCAUACCUAUCUAGCAGCGUUGUUGCUUGUAUAAAUACCCCCAAAGACUCAUUGUAAUCUCAGAUACUUGAUAAUUGAAAUACAGAACCCCUUUGUUCAACUGCGUGCUAACAAAUUCAUAGAGUGAUCUCUACCCCUUUGCUCUUGUGAUUUCCUCGCGAGAUUACAUAGGCGGUGGGUUCAUCCACUGCCAAUUGGUGCUCCUACUCAUUUCAAGGUAUUCCUUGAUUGAUUGUAGGUUGUGUUGGUUGGCUCUUUGAGAGUGUAGUUGGGCGAAUCCUCGAUUUAGGCUGCCGGUUAAAGAUGGUGGUUGGCUUUGAGUUUUAUUUGCCAGGUUGCACUAGUUAUCGCUGCUUGCAGCAAGUUAUCCGGCUGUUUUUCAGCUAGUUAUCGGUGUUCUUCCUACGUCGUGAAGAUAGGGACAACGAGUCGCAUCAAGAGCUAGAAUGAAGAACAUGUUCAACCAUGCAAGAGAGGUGGAGGUAUGCAUCUACUCAAGGAGGAAGACAUGCUAGCUACCAAGAUAGAUCAAGACAAUGAGAAGAAAUAAGUCAUGCAUAUCAAUGAUUCUCACAUGACUUGUGAAGAAUGUGGAGAAACUGGACAUUCAGGGAUAACUUCUCUAAGCUUCAAUAGGAUGUGAGCUACAUCAACAAUAACAACUGUCAUCCUCAACAAAAUCAAGCGUGGAAUAAGCAACACAAGACAAACUAUCAAGGUAAUUACCAAGGUUGUCCUGAAAGUAAUAAUUACAAUAAUUUCAAUCAGCCACCUUUGAGAGAUUUAGUUGCUAGUUAGUGUAUUCUUUUGGAUCAAAUGUUUAAUAAUGUUGCCUCUAAUGAUAAAAUCUUGGAGAACAUAAAUACUAGAAUGGAUACCUUUGAUUCUGCUAUAAAGAACUUACAUAGCUAUAAUAAUAUAAUAGAAUCACAAAUAUCCUAAUUAGCUGAUGCUAUUCCUUCAUCCAAUAAAGGUAAGAUUUUUGGGCAGCCAAAAGAAUUAGAAAUUGCAAAUAUUGUCAAUAUUCACAAUGUAGACUACUUCUACACUCAACCAUCAAAAGUCAAGUGGAUAGACUAUACACUUCCCAACAAGAAAGGUGAUCUAGGGAGAUGUGUCGUUCCUAUCUCCAUUAGACAUCACAUUUUCCAUGAAGCUAUAUGCAAUUUUGGUGCAAGUGUCAACAUCAUGCCUAAGGUAAUUUAUGAAAGAAAUUUAGGAGAUCCUUUGUUGUAAACAAAUAUGUGUUUGCAUCUUUCAAAUUAGUCACUCUACUACCCUGAGGGAGUUCUUGAAGAUGCUAUUAUCAGAGUGGCACAGUCCUAUGUUCCUAUAGACUUUAUGCUCAUUGAGAUAGGAGGACAUGAUAGAGCACCAAUCAUAUUGGGCCAACCAUUGCUUAAUACUUCAAAAGCCAUCAUCUAUGCAAAGAGUGCCAACAUUGUUUUCACCAUCAUGUAUAAGAAGGAGAAGUUCUCGUUCAAAGAUUACAUGUUGCAUUCACCUACUCACCCUUAGAAAGCAUACACACAUGAAGAACCAGUAAUGUCCAAGAAGUAGAAGAACUAAAACUAGAGGAAGAACAAGGUCAACCAAGAUCAACAAGAGACCAACAACAUGAUCAACAUGAUCAUAUCUGAGUAUGACCACAUGUUGGCUCCUCCAUUCCUAGAAAAGAAAGAUGAUCCCAGCAUACCAACAAUUGAAUACAUAAUUAACCAAAGAAUCUACCACAAAUGUCCAAGAGAGAAAGAAAAAUAAAUAAGAUUGCCCUAUUCUAUAGCAAGUGUUUUCAAAUUUCAAAUGAGAGAGAUAAGUUUUCAUGGAGCAAAGUAGAAUUAGGUUCCCACCAUGCUUUCAAUCUUGCCACCAUUUACACCAUUCAUAGCCAUAUCCACCACAUACACCAGUCCAUAUAUAUUCCACACACAUACACAUCUUGAUUUGAUUGUAUGACUUAUUUCUUUGGAUCUAUUGUUUGACUUUACAAAAUAUGCUUUGCAAGUAUGUAUGCACUAUCUCCCCUCCUAUGAACUCCAUAUAAGCUUUGUUAGUUAUAGGAUGAGCGAGAGAGAAGGCAUAACAUCAUUAUUGCCUUGGUAAGGACCCACAAAUACCACAUAUUGAGAGACUUGAGAGAGUCAUACAAAAUAAUCUUAGAGUUUUAUUUAGAAAACAUACAAAAUCUCUAGAAUAAUGGUUGAGCUAAGAGAUUGAGAUAUAGUGGUUGACUUGAUUGUUCUGUCUUUCAAUUGCUCAAGACCCAAGUGAUGGAUACAAGCCCCAUGGUUGAAGGUAAUAUGGGAAUGUUGAAAGUUAGAAUAGUGUAUUCUAAUCCGGAGGAGAAUUUUUGUUUGAACACAUGUGUACUUUUGAGGCGUGAAAGCAUUGUAGCAACUCCUGAUCCAUUGCUGAGUUUAGAUUUUCUAAGGGACUAGCGAAGGUUAAGCUUGGGGGAGCUUGUUGGUGGUCCUUAACUACCAUAGAGCAACCCAUUAACUAAUUGUAAAAAUGAUCAAUACAACAUAAUAUCAAUAUAGAAUAGGGGGAUAUCUAACAGAAUUCCUAGGUUUUGGUUUAUCUCUAUUUUCUAGCGUUGUAUUGAGAAAAUAGCCAAAGAUAUGGAGCAUGUCGAGCUACAAAGAAUAUUCCAACACAACACCAAGUUUACAAGAUUACAGAAGACAUGAGAAGUCAUGCCACCAAAGGUGGGGCCCACGAAGCAUAGGGCUAGGUCACCUGACCUAGG